AAUAUUGGACAAUGGGGGCAACCCUGAUCCAGCCAUGCCGCGUGUGUGAAGAAGGUCCUCGGAUUGUAAAGCACUUUAUGUUGGGAGGAAGGGCUUUAGGUUAAUACCCUGAAGUUUUGACGUUACAAACAGAAUAAGUACCGGCGAACUAUGCGCCAGCAUCCGCGGUAAUAAAGAGGGUGCAAGCGUUAAGCGGAAUUACUGGGCGUAAAGAGCGCGUAGGUGGUGCAGUAAUAUGGGUGUGAAAUCCCCGUGCUUAACCUGGGAACUGCUUUCAUAACUGCUGAGCUAGAGUACGGUAGAGGGUAGUGGAAUGUCCUGUGUAGCGGUGAAAUGCGUAGAUAUAGGAAGGAACACCAGUGGCGAAGGCGACUACCUGGACUGAUACUGACACUGAGGUGCGAAAGCGUGGGGAGCAAAC
RNAcentral lists this ribosomal RNA (421 nucleotides) under uncultured bacterium. RNAcentral describes it as "partial 16S ribosomal RNA". It matches the Rfam family "Bacterial small subunit ribosomal RNA", at positions 360 to 773 of the family's 1533-position model. The record is from RNAcentral.